This 461-nucleotide ribosomal RNA is filed under the name uncultured bacterium. Its description in RNAcentral is "bacterial SSU rRNA". It matches the Rfam family "Bacterial small subunit ribosomal RNA", at positions 1036 to 1498 of the family's 1533-position model. The record is from RNAcentral.
AGGUGCUGCAUGGCUGUCGUCAGCUCGUGUCGUGAGAUGUUGGGUUAAGUCCCGCAACGAGCGCAACCCUUGUCCUUAGUUGCCAUCAUUAAGUUGGGCACUCUAGGGAGACUGCCGGUGUUAAACCGGAGGAAGGUGGGGAUGACGUCAAGUCCUCAUGGCCCUUAUGCCUAGGGCUACACACGUGCUACAAUGGCCGGUACAAAGGGCAGCGAUACCGCAAGGUGGAGCAAAUCCCAAAAAGCCGGUCUCAGUUCGGAUUGGAGUCUGCAACUCGACUCCAUGAAGUUGGAAUCGCUAGUAAUCGCGUAUCAGCAUGACGCGGUGAAUACGUUCCCGGGCCUUGUACACACCGCCCGUCACACCACGGGAGUCUAUUGUACCGGAAACCGGUGGGCUAACCUUCGGGAAGCAGCCGUUUAUGGUAUGAUCGGUAACUGGGGUGAAGUCGUAGCAAGAUA